CGAAAGAGGCGCGGCGUUCAUCAGUACUCCCCUGUUCCCGGCCGGGCAGCCGCGGGGAGGAAAGGGUACGCCGCCGAAGUGCCGCAGCUCUGCCCGGGGAUACGGUGCUGGGGUCAUGGAGAAGAUCCAUGGCACUGUCACGCAGGACGUGGAGCGCUGUCG
Molecule: non-coding RNA, 162 nt
Filed under: bovine gut metagenome
Description: Lysine riboswitch
Rfam family: Lysine riboswitch aptamer
About the family: Riboswitches are metabolite binding domains within certain messenger RNAs that serve as precision sensors for their corresponding targets. Allosteric rearrangement of mRNA structure is mediated by ligand binding, and this results in modulation of gene expression. This family includes riboswitches that sense lysine in a number of genes involved in lysine metabolism, including lysC.
Source: RNAcentral